This is a long non-coding RNA of Astyanax mexicanus (Mexican tetra), 892 nucleotides long. RefSeq lists it as uncharacterized. NCBI's taxonomy places the organism in Eukaryota, Metazoa, Chordata, Actinopteri, Characiformes, Acestrorhamphidae. The record is from RefSeq and is a predicted model, not a curated record. The transcript has 5 exons.
UUUCCCUGAUAGCAGACUACUCCGAUCCGGAUCCGUUUUACCUCCGGCAGAUCCGCGCUACAGUCAGGUCUGUUUAGUGGAUCUGGUCCGGCUUCACUCCGGGUUCGGGUUAUGAUUGUGACUCACGUUCAGAUCCGUUUUACUGACGGUAAAUCCGCAUAACAGUCCGUCUCAUUUCACGCCUUCCAUAUGACUUCGGCACGGAGUCAGAUACCAGAUGUGAGUUCAGUGUCAGCUCAGUGUCGUUUUGCGGAUCCGGGCCGCAUCGGCGGAGCGGCACAGGAGCGGGAGAAAUUCAAACUCAGCGCGAGGACCAACUGACAUCUGCUGAAUCUGCGCUUCAGGGCUGCUGAGGGCUGGGGACCUGAGAUAAGGUGUAAUCAUUUACCCAUCAAAUCACCUAACAAGCAGGAUUUGGUAUCCGCAAAAUGGUUCGAGGUCCUCAGCCCUCGCCUCCCCAGCACAGAGGAAAACUACCAAGGGCGGUACUCUCAUUAUAGGAGAUUCAAUUGUUAGACAUUUAAAAGUAUCUAAGAGUAAUGGCACAAUUUCAUGUCUUCCAGAUGCUUGCAUGCUGGUAGUCGGCAAGCGGCUCCCUGGGGCGCAUUGCCAAAGCAGGAACCCCGGCACCAUCGCCCUCCAUGUGGGGAUGAGCUUUCGGGAGCGACCGGCCCCAUUCCACAGAGACAGGCUUCUCUCUGUGAACAUCGAGGCGGUGCUACGCUGAGACUGACUGUCUCUACCCAGUCACACCAGCCAAGCUGCACUGUAGUGGUGUUAAGUGUCCAAGAAUGCUCUCAUCAGUGGAGGCACAGCUGGCUGCAAAAAACGUCUGUGUCUGCAUGUUUAUAUUAUGUGAAUUAAAAAUGGUUUUAUUAUUAAAAUAAUUGUA